This 993-nucleotide long non-coding RNA is filed under the name Carica papaya (papaya). RNAcentral describes it as "long non-coding RNA (CPAP_LNC013376)". Lineage: Eukaryota; Viridiplantae; Streptophyta; Magnoliopsida; Brassicales; Caricaceae. The record is from RNAcentral.
UAUUAAUAUAAAAUUAGUAGUAUCCUCAUUAAAACUACUAUUUCUCUCCUGCACCGCAUUUUAAAAAAUUUUUCAUUCAAAAAAAUAUUUUUAGCUACUCAUUUCACAUUUAUGGAAAACUAAAGCCUGCUUUUAACUGCAAAAUAAAAUGAAUCACUUCUUGCCGGUUUGAAACAAAUUAAAAUUAUGAUCACAUACCCACAUACCAAAAAGGAGAUAUUUUGCAAGAACAAAAACAAAAAAGAAAAAUCAACAGUCAACUCUACAUGCAUAAUGAGGUGCACCUGAUAUCUCAUGAGAAAAUGGAGGAUUGAGCUCCAACUCCCCCCAAGUUUCCUUGAUGUUAUCAGGCCCGCUCUCGAGCGUAACUGUCGCAGGCAAGGUACGCGUAACCUUGUUUCCAGAACUGCAUCACCGUUCCCCAUCUUCUCCAGUUCAAAUUGACCCAUCAAAUCCCCUUGGCAACCAAACGACACAAAGAAAUGUUUUAAAAAUAAUAAUAAGUUUAUAAAUAUAAGAAACACAGAACAAGCCAUUGAGAGAUAACGAGAAGAUGAAGAAAAUGUAAAAACCUUUGACCUGAAGUUUUGAGGGGAACCAAGCGGAGAAGAGCGAAGGAUGUUGAGAAAAGCGAUUGGCAUCGUCGGGUGUAGAAAAUGAAAAACUUAACAGUGGAAGUUUAGAUUGUCAAGAUCAUUGAAGAAAAAUGGCCAGGGGGCGGGGAGUUAUUCUUUUUGGUGUUUCAAAUUAUCAGAUUUCAUGUUGGGGCUUGGUGGGAAACGGUAAGAGGAGAAAGUGAAAUGAUGGAGGAGAUAGAUUUUCUUCACAUCUCUAGGGUGAGGCGGAAGGCAGAAAGAUGAAAUGAUGGAGGAGAUAGAUUUUCUUCACAUCUUUAGGGUGAGGCGGAAGGCAGAAAGAUGGCGUGUUCGAGAUGAAGAGCAGCGUGAGGAAAAGAAGAUGUUGUGUUCAGGUUUGCAAUGAUUUCAGCUAUAA